AGGUGCCUCCUCCUUCUCUCCCAAAUCUGCCAACAGCCAGAACCUGAGCCAGCUGAGUAAGGACAGAAGCACAGCCUUCUCCUGUUUGAGCCUUGAGCUGAGACCCAGCCACCACCUUGACUGCAGGUGGUGAGAGAUCCCAAGCCAACUUCAUUUCCCCAACUAAGCCAUACUCAGAUUCCUGCCCCACAGAAACUGAAAUAAUAAAUGCUUGUUGCGGAAGGUUCAUUACACAUCACAGUUCAGUCUAACCUGCAUUUGGGGAUGUAAGGGAACCAAUUGCUGUCCAUGCUUCUGCAAAGACUUGUGAAGGCAGAGAUAUGAGCCUGGAGAAGCUGGCUUCAUGCGACAAGAGGUGCCCUGCAAAGAAAUGAAGCUCCAGGCUAAGGUCCAAAACUCAUACCACUUACUGCACAACCGCCUAUAAGUCAAGAGACACAAUGUUGGGGCAAGCAAAAUGAUUAUUUCAAUGGCCAGCAAAUCAAGAAGAUGGCAGACCAGAGCUGUAAAGAACGGUCUUUAAAGACAUG
This 530-nucleotide long non-coding RNA is filed under the name Callithrix jacchus (white-tufted-ear marmoset). RNAcentral's name for it is "lncRNA (ENSCJAG00000065595.2)". The record is from RNAcentral. Lineage: Eukaryota; Metazoa; Chordata; Mammalia; Primates; Cebidae.